CGUCCAGCUGACAGCCUGCCAGACGCCCUGCGACUGCGAGCUGUGGAAACAGAUCGUGCUCAAACAUCAAAAACCGUUUUGCUCGAUCUACACAAUUAAAACUGGACGGCUCAAUCACAUACAACCCUGCAUUGAUGAGCGUGGAUGGUGGAAUAGCCGGCUUUUCGUGAAAGCGCGCAAUGUGAUGCCCGUCUAUUUCCGCCACACCAUAUUCAGACGGAUUGGGCACUCGCACGAGCGCGAUUGUGGCGCCUAGCUGUAAACCUUCGGCUUGACGCGCGGCAUGAAACUUCGCGAGUUGAGUUAAAUCCAAACCUUUCAGCUCAUCCCCAUUGGUCACAAAAAAUGGCUCGUGACCAAGUGCGAGCUCAUGGACCAACGCACCCAUGGUUCCCAUGGCCCGUGUUUCUUCAAAUAAGUCGAUAGAUAUCACAUGCGGUUGCGCCACCCACGCUUCGAAGGCAGCUUUCCAUUUCGUCGGAUAUAUGACGGUGACGCGUUCGAUACCAUGCGCGGCAAACCAGCGCACCAGCCAGGUAGCGAUUGGAAUGCCUUGCACCGGCACCAGCGGCUUAGGAAUCUCCAACGUGACGGGAAGCAGGCGUGUACCCUGCCCACCAGCUUGAAUAAUGGCGUGUCGAAACAUAAAUAGGAUAGGACUUACACGUUUGGAUGCAGAACGCGAAGAACCUUGCCUGGGUUUGACAUAUGCCGGAAAGCUCUAGAGAUAGAGCCCCUUUUAGUCGGUAUACAGGUGGUGCAUGGCUGUCGUCAGCUCGUGUCGUGUGAUGUUGGGUUAAGUCCCGCAACGAGCGCAACCCCCAUUCUUAGUUGCUAACGGGAGAGCCGAGCACUCUAGGAGAACUGCCUGCGAUAAGCAGGAGGAAGGUGGGGAUGACGUCAAGUCAGUACGGCCCUUACGCCUGGGGCUACACACGUGCUACAAUGCCCGGCACAACGGGUUGCGAAACCGCGAGGUGGAGCUAAUCCCUAAAAACCGGGCCCAGUUCGGAUCGAAGGCUGCAACUCGCCUUCGUGAAGCUGGAAUCGUUAGUAACCCCACAUCAGACACGGCGGGGGGAAUACGUUCCCGGGUCUUGUACACACCGCCCGUCAAGUCAUCCGAGUGGGUUGCACCCGAAGUAGGCUAUCUAACCGCAAGGAGGAUAUCUGCGAAGGUGUGACUCGUGAGGAGGACUAAGUCGUAACAAGGUAGCCCUACCGGAAGGUGGGGCUG
RNAcentral lists this ribosomal RNA (1237 nucleotides) under groundwater metagenome. Its description in RNAcentral is "bacterial SSU rRNA". The stretch from base 623 to 1237 matches the Rfam family "Bacterial small subunit ribosomal RNA", at positions 875 to 1520 of the family's 1533-position model. The record is from RNAcentral.